Molecule: ribosomal RNA, 108 nt
Filed under: Ulvibacter litoralis
Lineage: Bacteria; Pseudomonadati; Bacteroidota; Flavobacteriia; Flavobacteriales; Flavobacteriaceae
Source: RNAcentral
UAAGGUGGUUAUAGCGACGGGGCUCACCUCUUACCAUUCCGAACAGAGAAGUUAAGCCCGUUAGCGCCGAUGGUACUACACUUGUGGAAGAGUAGGUCGCCGCCUUCU